Serinus canaria (Common canary) is the source of this 3395-nucleotide long non-coding RNA. RefSeq lists it as uncharacterized. NCBI's taxonomy places the organism in Eukaryota, Metazoa, Chordata, Aves, Passeriformes, Fringillidae. The record is from RefSeq and is a predicted model, not a curated record. The transcript is spliced from 8 exons.
UGAUGUUGUUUCAGCUAUUGCAGAUGUCUGCCUGGCAUCCAUUUGCUACCACGGUGGAGUGUCAGUCGGCUUUAGGUCCUGCGUCAUCUCUGCUAUUCCUGUGCAGAUAUCCUGGAUGCUUUACAGCCUUCUCAAAUGGCACUGGGCACCUGUGCCUUGGACAGGAAUCCUGGCCUUUGCUUUGUGAAGCAGCACGUUCCUGAAGGGCCACAACAAUGUGGUCAUGGUCGCAGCCAAGCAUGGCAGCAGUGAGCAAGUUGAACAAAUCUUUGAACAGGACGAUUGAAGUGUUUUGGUUUGGUUUGGUUGGAAGACUGUACUAGUUUGCCAGAGGGAAUUCAGAGGAAACCAGAAUACUUUCCCAAAGAGAAGUUUUCUUCCACUUUUCUCCAAGGAAAUCUUUUCCUGAACCAGCUGAGGAAGGGGCCAAUUGAAUCUGCUUUCUAGAGGAACGCCUUUGGAAGUUUCCUCCCAAAUUUGCCCUAAACCAGAACAAAUACACUCAGCAAAUAAAGAGCUUUGCCCGGCACUGACCUGCGGCUGCAGGUAAAACAAGCAGGACAAGCAGAGAUGCUGCUCAGCAUUUGUGCACCAUGAGAGCAGCAUGUGACUGUACUGGUAGAAGGCAGAGAAGAUAAGGACUUGCUGUCACAGAGGAGACACUGCUGCAGAGUGCACUGCUGCAAGAGUCAAGGCUUGAGGCACUGUGCCACUGGUGCUGAGGUGAAGGGCACUGAGUUGGAUAGAAGGAUCAGAGGAGUGGUCUAUCUAAUCUGGGAUCUUGGCACUGAAAAUGGUUAGUGCUAACUGCUGUGGAGAAACCGCCUCUUUUUCUCUUAUUAUUUCAAUCUUCUGAUAUGAAGUGGCCCUUUUUUCUCAACAGUAAGAAUAUCUGUUUCUAAAAAAGAAUUUAACUUUGCACUACUCAUUCUGUAGUCCCCAAACUUGUCUUUUUACAGAACUUGAAGUUUUCCUGCUUUUUGUGUGUUUAGGAGACAGUGGGGGAAUGGACAAAAAAUUUUAAAGUGCUGAGGCCACUAGUGUAUUUUUUUUUCCAUUCCACCAUUUGGUUUAGCACUUUCUCCUAAGCCACCUUUUCAUGUAAUGUUAAUUAGUAUGACACCAAUAUUCUGUAUAGUUUUGGAAGUAGUAUCUUCCGAGAUGAAGACGAAAGUAAUGAAAAAUGAAUGUUCAAGCCUCACACUUCCCUGUCCAUAACGCUUCUCUUACAAUUUCAUUUGGUUUAAUUUACAUUUCUUGUCCAAUCUCUUGAAACAAACACUUGCCUGGUGUAUCUCUUUUCAUUUGUAUUACCAAAUGACCAUCAUAUCAUAAAGGCAGGUAUGCCAAACACUUACUAUUUAUCAAUAAUUUGAUUUGUUGUUGUGCAGCAAAUAACACGGGAAUCUGCGGUUUCCUUUCUUCACCAAAAAGGGGUGAUACUUGGGUGUCGUUUUAUAUCAACCAUGGCUAAUCUAUUUCUAAACACCAAAAAGGUGGUGAGAGGGUGUCUGUCCUUGGUCCUUGUGUUGUGUCAGCAGCAGCAGCACUCGUCCAGCUGUACAGCUGCACAGAGGACUGGAUCUGGCUGACUGCUGAGGAUGCAUCUCCAUGUGCUGACACAAAGCGUGGAGGACAGACAGGAUUGCCAUCCUUGGGCUUCUCCACUGCAACUCAGAGAGUCCUGGGGCCCCUGUGCCUUUCCUGCUUUGGGGACACUGGCAGAAUAAAGGUGGAACCGCCAGCAAGCACAUUCCUGGAGCUCCACAGAGGAUACUGCCCUGCUCAUUGUUGCCACUCUUGCUGAGUGAUGCUCCACAUCAGGAAUGAAUGCAGCCCGAGAUAUACAUACCAAGUGGCACAGAAGAGAGAAAUGAAUGAAUUCCUCAUGGAAAGUGCUUUAUGGAGAGCUCCUUUUUAUCUUCACAAGUCUUGGAGAAACAGCAGUGAAUUCCCCUGCCUCACUUCACCCCUAGGCUGGCCCCCUGCAUGUGUCUCUCACAUAAGGAGCUCUGUUUGAUUGCUCUCCUUCUUUUCUGUUGAGAACAUUCAAGUUUCCUGUACAAACUUCUGCAGACCACAGGUGUGGAUGUCCCUCCUGAAAUGGCACUUUCUGCUCUAUUCACACCAGAAGGCAACUGGAACUCACAUGUGAUUCUCCAUCCUCCUAGCACUUCAUAGAGACAUCUGACCAGAGACUGCUGAUGCACAGGCAGCUGGAAUAUGUGCUGUCUUAUACAGAGAAGGAGUGUGGGAAUAAGUAAACAGAAGGGCCAGAAAUCCUCACUCUAGGGAGCUGUGGAACUGAUACUGGAAGACUGUCAAGUCAGAAUAUCCCUAGAAUUGUAGGACAUGAGUUCAAGCCAUACAUAAAUCCAAAUUUCAGAGGCUUGAGCUCAGGUAAGACUCUGGAUUACAUGAAAUUUGUAAGAAAAGUACAGGAAAUCUGUAGUGAUUUCAUGUAUUUAAAACCUGUUCUCAAUCAAAUUAAGACAAAUAAGUUUCAACAGGAAAAAAAAAUAAACACAAACCAAAACCAACCAAAAAACAAACCAAAAGAACCUGGAAGGGAUUCCCAGAAUUCUGAAUUAAAAAAUUUUCAAAAAUUUAAGUUUAAGAUAUUACUUUACUUGAAAACUGUUUCAGGCUGAGGCAGGAUCUGAAUCUAAUCUUCACAGCCCUACAAAAUUAUUCUACAUAUAGAAGCUUAUCAAAUACAUAAUUACCUUAUUCUAGUUUGUAUUCUAGAACAAACAUGUCUGCACGAGCCAGUUAUUCAGUAAGGAUGCUACUUUUAUUCUUGAAUAAUUCCAUGUGCAGUCAAGCUCUCAGUCAAAUCACCACAACUCUGUAUGUAGAUGAAUUGUCAGUAUCUCUCUGCUUGCAUUUACAGGAAAUCUGUAUCUCUGUUACUAAAUGCAGCUGACAGAUCUGAAAAUGUCACAUUUGUUUGCAGAGUAAGCAUCUUAUAAGCUUUACCCCCAUUAGCCUACUACUCAUGUCCUUUGCAGGUGUUAUGAACUGCCUCUCCUUCCCAUUUUGUGUUAAAUGUCGUUAACAAACUAAUGAAUGCUAUGGAGCGAGGAAAAGUUUUUUCCUCCCUUGUUUGCCAAAAAGCAACAGGGUUUUUUUUUUUUUUUUUUGCCACAAAGAAGUUUUUGAGUAUGACAUUAACUUUAUAUAUAUAAGUCCAGGAGAAGAAAACUGAAUUGCUUUUCUUUGGGAAGGGGGAGGAAAUAAAUCUUUGUUCUAGUUCAGUAAAAAAUCCCUACUUAUUAGACCUUUUAACCAUAAAGACUUUUUUUCUUCAUACUGUUUGUGUUUAUCACCUAUGCUUGCCUAAUUCUGUCAUGAGUACUGUCUCAAAGCCUUAAUAAAACAUUAAUGUCCAAGCC